UACGUAGGGUCCAAGCGUUAUCCGGAAUUACUGGGCGUAAAGAGUUGCGUAGGUGGCAUGAUAAGUCAGUAGUGAAAUGACGAGGCUCAACCUCGUGUCCAUUACUGAAACUAUCAAGCUAGAGAAUGAGAGAGGUCACUGGAAUUCCCUGUGUAGGAGUGAAAUCCGUAGAUAUAGGGAGGAACACCGAUGGCGUAGGCAGGUGACUGGCUCAUUUCUGACACUAAGGCACGAAAGCGUGGGUAGCAAACGGG
RNAcentral lists this ribosomal RNA (254 nucleotides) under uncultured bacterium. RNAcentral describes it as "partial 16S ribosomal RNA". It matches the Rfam family "Bacterial small subunit ribosomal RNA", at positions 524 to 776 of the family's 1533-position model. The record is from RNAcentral.